RNAcentral lists this ribosomal RNA (221 nucleotides) under uncultured bacterium. Its description in RNAcentral is "partial 16S ribosomal RNA". It matches the Rfam family "Bacterial small subunit ribosomal RNA", at positions 99 to 334 of the family's 1533-position model. The record is from RNAcentral.
CAAACGGGUGAGUAACACGUGGAUGAUCUGCCCUGGAGUGGGGAAUAACGCUGGGAAACCGGCGCUAAUACCGCAUAUUCCCGAGAGGGGAAAGCAGCAAUGCGCUCGAGGAGGAGUCCGCGGCCGAUUAGCUAGUUGGCAGGGUAAAAGCCUACCAAGGCUAUGAUCGGUAGCCGGCCUGAGAGGGCACACGGCCACACUGGCACUGAAACACGGGCCAG